GAAUAGCUAUCUACAAGCAAGAAACAUCUGUUUAGUAUCAGACACCAGGAAUCUAUUUGUUAUUAGGAUGGCAAAGUAUUAGAAAAUUUAGACUUUGGAGAUUUCAUUCUAGGACUGAUUCUAGAUCAGCAGAAAUACUUAAAGCAACAGUCUAAUAAAAGCACUGCUUCCCAAUGUAUUUGUGUGCACCCUCAGAAUAAACAGAGGAAUGGUACUUUUUGGUCCUUAUCACUUAAAAGCUAAACUAAUAAAAAUAAAUAAAUAACAUGCACUUUGUUAUUCCUGCAGAUCCUAGUGCAUCUGAUAUCAAGAACAAGCAUUAACUUAAGAGUAAAAGCAAGUAAGAAAACAUAAAACUUGC
This 361-nucleotide long non-coding RNA is filed under the name Bos taurus (domestic cattle). RNAcentral describes it as "long non-coding RNA NONBTAT012612". The record is from RNAcentral. Lineage: Eukaryota; Metazoa; Chordata; Mammalia; Artiodactyla; Bovidae.